Molecule: long non-coding RNA, 621 nt
Organism: Solea senegalensis (Senegalese sole)
Lineage: Eukaryota; Metazoa; Chordata; Actinopteri; Pleuronectiformes; Soleidae
Exons: 3
Source: RefSeq, a predicted model, not a curated record
AAAAACUGCAGGCCCUGGGUGUAAGGGCAAUGCUCUUGACAGCAAACACCUGGGUGUCCGAGGUGUUACUGCCCCGUUGCCACUUAGUAGGCGAACGCUACUACAUGUGUGGACAGAAUGCGGGACAUUUAUGGACUUCUUGUUCACGACUGGGUCCUACCAGAUGCCACACGCCAGUUGGAUGAACCCUCAUCAGCCCCAGUCGAACAACCAACUGGACCAGUAGCUCCACCAGAUCCCCAGCAAACACUGGCUCCACCUGAUCCCCGAAGGGCCCCAACUGGACCAGUAAUGGCCCCACCAGACCCAGUGGAGGUUGUCCCUCAGCAACCUCCACUACAUCAGUGAAGUUCCUGACUAGGCCACCAGCAGCCCCAACUGGACCAUCAACCUCUGGUUCCCAUUCCUCAGAAGGAACUCCAGCUGCCCCAGUUGCUUUAGAAAAAGUAAUAGAUGACAUUGUGAAAGAAGGCUGUCCUGCUCCCAGUGCAGUGCUGAAACGGAAAAGGAAAGGUGUGUUGUAAUGUCAAUCCAUAAUUGUCUGAAUAUGGUUUUAAAAAAAAUAUAUAUACUGUAUAUAUAAUUGAAGUAUACCACAAUGAAGUAAUCAGAUAUUUUUGU